This is a long non-coding RNA of Stegostoma tigrinum, 2648 nucleotides long. RefSeq lists it as uncharacterized. The record is from RefSeq and is a predicted model, not a curated record. Lineage: Eukaryota; Metazoa; Chordata; Chondrichthyes; Orectolobiformes; Stegostomatidae. The transcript is spliced from 4 exons.
UGAAGGGAGGGCGGGAUCAGUGAAAACCACGUGAUCAUCCACGAGUGCGGUGCAGAGUCGCUGAGAAAACCGGAACGGCAGAUGCUGGAGAAUCCGAGAUAACACGGUGUGCAGCUGGAUGUACACAGCAGGUCAAGCAGCAUCAGAGGAGCAGGAAAGCUGACGUUUCGGGCCUAGAUCCCUCGCUGAGACCAAGAUUUGUGCAAUUGAGAUACCAGCGAUCGUUGCCAAAGCCCUGUUACCUGUGGAGAAGGUGAUGUUUAACUUUCGUGUGCUACUGCAGUUUGUAUGAUAAAGGUGCUCUCACAAUGCUCCAUUUGAGAAGUUACAGAUCAUUCAUCUAGCGAUACUGAAGAGCUAAUGGUGAUAUUACAAGUGGACUUUCAGGUAGGAAGCUCAAUAAUUGUAACACCAAACUCUGACAGAAUUACUCAAUUCAAUCAGGACCUGGAUAUUCGCAUUGUGUAUUUCCACAAUUUUACUUCUGCACUGCUCUUACUCUUUCAGAGGGAUCGAAAGGUGGAGUUACAGAUCUAUACAAUGACUGUCCUUCCUCGCUGGCUCUCCCAAUUCUCUCUUUUGGUAGUUUGAUGCAAACACUGACUGGAUCCCUUACCUGGAGGAUAUUUAUGAAUGAAUUUGUUCUAAUGGUGAUCCAGCAUAUUCCCCAAGUGUUGCUGCACACAUGUCCAGAGAAUUUCUCAGUUUCACAAUCUGUGUCCUUCUGGUUUCUUACUUACUUUCUCUUUGAAAGUAUAGUCUGCAGUUGGAGAAUUUAAACAGGCCCACAUCCAGGUCUGACGGUCACUUUGUUUAUCACAACCCAAUUUUCUCAGGAUUUUGAACAUUGAAGGAAAAAGCAGCACUCACAUUGGGGAGAAAUGCACAUGGUGUGUGUGUUGAAGAGUCUGUGAAGAUUCAUCUGAAAUGUCCAAACACCAGUGCAGUGACACUGGGAGACAGUGUGGAAAUGUGCAGAUUGCAGGAAGGAAUUUCUUCAUCCAUCCCAGCUAGAAACUGACCACCAGAGUCACACUGGAGAGAGACCAUUGACCUGUUCUGCGUGAGGGAAAGGCUUUGCUGACUCGAAUUCCCCGCUGAUACACCAGCGAGUUCACUCUGGGGAGAGACCUUUCAUGAGCUCUGUGUGGGAAGGGAUUCAUUGUCAUCCAAACUGUUAACACACCAGCGAGUUCGCAGACAACCACAGUUGAAGAACAUUGCUGUCACUCUCACUAUCAAAUAAACCAUGGUGUUGGGCUGUUUGUACAGAUGUUACCGAUACCUGCUCAAUUAAAGGUGCUGGUAUUGUGAAUAAAAUGUCACACUAACAGUUGUGUAAGGUAGAGCUUGGAAAUAGUCACGUUGUCACAACACAUCGACACAUUCACACUGACUAAAGCCUAUCCACCUGCAUGAUAUGUGAAAAGGGAUUUCCUGGUACAUUCCUGGUUCCUGGUUAAUGACCAGCAAAUUUCUGAAUAAGUUGAUUGGUUUGAAUAUAGCUAACAGUAGAAUCAAAAAUAGUAUCAGUGAUAAUGGGAACUGCAGAUGCUGGAGAAUCCAAGAUAACAAAAAGUGUGGAGCUGGAUGAACACAGCAGGCCAAGCAGCAUCUCAGGAGCACAAAAGCUGACUUUUCGGGCCUAGAGAAGGGUCAAGGCCUGAAACGUCAGCUUUUGUGCUCCUGAGAUGCUGCUUGGCCUGCUGUGUUCAUCCAGCUCCACACUUUGUUAUAGUCGAUUCAAAAACCAUGUGUUUUGGGCUUGUUUCUGGAGAUCAUAGAAUCCCUCCACUGUGGGAGCAGACCACUUAGCCCAUCAAGUCCGCACUGACCUGACGAAGAUUGUCUUACCCAGACACUGUCUGCGUGAGUUUCCUCCAGAUGCUCUGGUUUCCUCCCACAGUCCAAAAAUGUGCAAAUUAUGUAGAUUCACUAUGCUAAAUUGCCCAUAGUAUCUUGUGUGCAAAAUGCAGGGAUAGGGUAGGGUGUGAGACUGGUUGGGAUGCUCUUUGCAGGGUUGAUAUUGACUGAAUGGCCAUCUUCCACACUGUAGGAAUUCUGUGAUGAUCUCGAUGGCCCUUUAUUUGUUAGAUAGGUCUGCACACCUUUACAAUGACAGAUUCUGUUGCUCUCCCACAGACAUUUGUUUAUUGGAAACAAUGUAAUCUUUCAGUUUGUGGAUAAAAAUCAAAGGAAUGUUUUAAAUCCAAACAUAGGAUUGGGUUGAGUCAUGUCCUAUAAUCCCUGAUUUGCAUUUUCCCCGUCGGCUAUGAAACCUGGUGACCGCUGUGACUCUGCCUGGGAGCAUUGCAGUCUCGUCAGCUCUUUACCUGGUGUCCAUAGCAGUGAUGGAUCUCAUGACGGAAACAUAAACCAAAACAUUGUGUGAUUUCUAGUACAUAUUUUCUAUUUAGUCUUCUGUCCAUCACUUCCCUAGAGGCUGAGAUACUGGUCUGGGGACCUAGGUGUGAAUCCAUCUGGAAAUAAGAAUGUGAUGAUGACUGUCAAUCCAUUGUCUUUGUUGGAAAAACCCAUCUGUUCACCGAUGGCCUACAGGGAAGGAAACUGCCAUUCUUAUCCAGUGAUGUGAUCAUCCCAUGAAUGAAUUUUUAAAAAAAAUUAAAAACUCCUGCAAAUACGUUAAA